GGAACUACGAACUAGGGAACAAAUGCAUGAAAUGAAAUCCGAAUAAAAACAUUUUAAGGUCGUUGGUACAGAUCAUGCCAAGUGUUUCUUUUUCGUCCAUUAUGGUUGAAUUACCCUAUACCCAUACCCGUAGCAAGAGAAUAAAGGGCAGUCUUUCCAGCCUCUGUCGGCAAAGGUAGUUCCACCGUAAAACAUUGUUACCUAUACUAGGUUUAUUUAAAGAAAAAACAAACAAUUUAAUUAUUUAGCUUUGACAUGGAUAGUUCCAUUGGUGUUGUAAAAAGGUAUCCACUUUAAAGUAAUAGGUAAACCUGGGCUUUUAAUUUUUGCUCUUAAUGUAUUCAAAUUUCACUAAUUUAUAUUGACUACAUAAAGUUAACCAUUGGAAUCCAACUCAUCAAGUCUUUUCCUGAUUGCUACUGUGUCCACUCCUGGAUUAUUGUACUUCAAUGCCAGUUCCAGUUGUUUUCUUUCCAUGCCAUCAACUCUUCCGUACAAAGUUUUACCAAGUUCUUUAUCAACAUCAUUUUCUUCUCUCAGGACACAAUACCAUAGCAAUAUGGCUGCAAUGCUAGCUGAAAUGACAAAGGGCUGAUACCAUGGUGAAUCAUCAGAAA
This is a long non-coding RNA of Daphnia magna, 617 nucleotides long. RefSeq lists it as uncharacterized. The record is from RefSeq and is a predicted model, not a curated record. The transcript is spliced from 2 exons. Lineage: Eukaryota; Metazoa; Arthropoda; Branchiopoda; Diplostraca; Daphniidae.